CGCUUGGCGCCAGGAGAUAUGUGAAAGAAUUUUGACAAAGUUGAUCUUCUUUUCAAAGCCUGACUGCCUGAAAUAAGUUAAGAAUGUUUGUAUUAUGUCGAGGAUAUGUGGGCUUACAACCCUGCCACUCUGAUCCUUUCUGCGCUGAUAGUGGGACACCGUUCAAAAUGCCAGAACCUACCAAAAAAGAUGAAACAUCUAGUGCCCCCCCUGAAGAGAGUGUUGGUCCAGACAGUAGUGAAGCUCCACCCCUUCCUGAGAUCUCGCUUGAGAUUUCUCCACCAGAUAAAGAUGAUGAUGCUGCUGCCAGCACCCCUUCACCACAACCUCCAGCAGAGGAUGCCAGUUCACUCAAGAAACUGUCUAUUGAGCUACCUAGUAAGGACGGCUA
This 391-nucleotide long non-coding RNA is filed under the name Scleropages formosus (Asian bonytongue). Its description in RNAcentral is "lncRNA (ENSSFOG00015027710.1)". Lineage: Eukaryota; Metazoa; Chordata; Actinopteri; Osteoglossiformes; Osteoglossidae. The record is from RNAcentral.